AGAGUUUGAUCAUGGCUCAGGAUGAACGCUAGCGGGAGGCCUAACACAUGCAAAGUCGAACGGGAUUCCCUUCGGGGGAUGAGAGUGGCGCACGGGUGAGUAACGCGUAUGCAACCUACCUGUAACAGAGGGAUAGCCCAUAGAAAUGUGGAUUAAUACCUCAUAGUUCUGUAUUGUCGCAUGGUGAUACAGAUAAAACUCCGGUGGUUACAGAUGGGCAUGCGUGACAUUAGCUAGUUGGUGAGGUAACGGCUCACCAAGGCGACGAUGUCUAGGGGUUCUGAGAGGAUGAUCCCCACACUGGUACUGAGACACGGACCAGACUCCUACGGGAGGCAGCAGUGAGGAAUAUUGGUCAAUGGGCGCAAGCCUGAACCAGCCAUCCCGCGUGCAGGAUGACGGCCCUAUGGGUUGUAAACUGCUUUUAUACACCAAGAAAAACAGGACGUGUCCUGAUCUGACGGGUAGUGUAUGAAUAAGCAUCGGCUAACUCCGUGCCAGCAGCCGCGGUAAUA
Molecule: ribosomal RNA, 515 nt
Filed under: bacterium enrichment culture clone Cont253_3130
Lineage: Bacteria
Description: bacterial SSU rRNA
Rfam family: Bacterial small subunit ribosomal RNA
Source: RNAcentral